AUGCUUAACACAUGCAAGUCGAACGGAAACGAUACUAGCUUGCUAGUAGGCGUCGAGUGGCGGACGGGUGAGUAACGCGUAGGAAUCUGCCUGAUAGUGGGGGAUAGCCCGGAGAAAUUCGGAUUAAUACCGCAUAAUCUAUUCGUAGUAAAGUGGGGGACUUUCGAGCCUCACGCUAUCAGAUGAGCCUGCGUAAGAUUAGCUUGUUGGUAGGGUAAAAGCCUACCAAGGCGACGAUCUUUAGCUGGUCUGAGAGGAUGAUCAGCCACAUCGGGACUGAGACACGGCCCGAACUCCUACGGGAGGCAGCAGUGGGGAAUAUUGGACAAUGGGGGCAACCCUGAUCCAGCAAUACCGCGUGUGUGAAGAAGGCCUGAGGGUUGUAAAGCACUUUCAAUUGUGAAGAAAAGUUAACGGUUAAUAACCGUUAGCCUUGACGUUAACUUU
This 447-nucleotide ribosomal RNA is filed under the name uncultured bacterium. RNAcentral describes it as "bacterial SSU rRNA". It matches the Rfam family "Bacterial small subunit ribosomal RNA", at positions 44 to 482 of the family's 1533-position model. The record is from RNAcentral.